UACGUAGGGGGCAAGCGUUGUCCGGAUUUAUUGGGCGUAAAGAGCGUGUAGGCGGCUUUACAGGUCCGUUGUGAAAACUCGAGGCUCAACCUCGAGACGCCGGUGGAAACCGUAAGGCUAGAGUCCGGAAGAGGAGAGUGGAAUUCCUGGUGUAGCGGCGAAAUGCGCAGAUAUCAGGAGGAACACCCGUGGCGAAAGCGGCUCUCUGGGACGGUACUGACGCUGAGACGCGAAAGCGUGGGGAGCAAACAGG
RNAcentral lists this ribosomal RNA (253 nucleotides) under uncultured bacterium. RNAcentral describes it as "partial 16S ribosomal RNA". It matches the Rfam family "Bacterial small subunit ribosomal RNA", at positions 524 to 776 of the family's 1533-position model. The record is from RNAcentral.